Molecule: ribosomal RNA, 457 nt
Filed under: Polygordius jouinae
Lineage: Eukaryota; Metazoa; Annelida; Polychaeta; Polygordiidae
Description: partial 16S ribosomal RNA
Rfam family: Archaeal large subunit ribosomal RNA
Source: RNAcentral
CUUMUACUGGAGUMUCCUGCCAGUGACACGCGUGUUCAACGGCCGCGGUACCCUGACCGUGCAAAGGUAGCAUAAUCACUCGCCUUUUAAUUGGAGGCUGGUAUGAAUGGAUAAACGAGGGUUCAGCUGUCUCUUUUAUUUCUAUAAAAAUUAAACUCUAGGUGAAGAUGCCUAGAUUUUCAUGUAAGACAAGAAGACCCUAUUGAGCUUUACUUUAUUCAGUUGAAUACUUCUCCCCCUGGGAAGACCAGCACUUGAACAAAGUUUUGUUGGGGCGACAAAGGAAUAAAUAAUUCUUCCUAAACAACAUAGACCUCUAGUCUUUCAAAUGACCCUACAAUGAUCAACGGAACCAGUUACCAUGGGGAUAACAGGCUAAUCCCCCUCGAGAGCCCUGAUUGACAGGGGGGAUUGGCACCUCGAUGUUGGCUUGGGGUAUCCCCCGCGUGCAGAAGCA